RNAcentral lists this ribosomal RNA (378 nucleotides) under uncultured eukaryote. RNAcentral's name for it is "partial 18S ribosomal RNA". It matches the Rfam family "Eukaryotic small subunit ribosomal RNA", at positions 592 to 976 of the family's 1831-position model. The record is from RNAcentral.
CAAUAGCGUAUAUUUAAGUUGUUGCAGUUAAAAAGCUCGUAGUUGGAUUUCGGGUGGGACGCAGCGGUCUCGCAUUGCGUUUGUACUGCUGCAGCCCUCCUUCUUGCCGGGGGCGGCCUCUCGGACUUCACUGUCUGGGGGUCAGAAUCGGCGAUGCUACUUUGAGUAAAUUAGAGUGUUCAAAGCAAGCUUACGCUCUGAAUAUAAUAGCAUGGGAUAACACGACAGGACUCUGGCCUAUCGUGUUGGUCUAUAGGACCAGAGUAAUGAUUAAGAGGGACAGUCGGGGGCAUUCGUAUUCCGUUGUCAGAGGUGAAAUUCUUGGAUUUACGGAAGACGAACAUCUGCGAAAGCAUUUGCCAAGGAUGUUUUCAUUGA